UCAGAUGUUCGGCUAAUCGCCCGCGUUUAUACGCGAGAGGAAAGUCCGGGCAGCGUAGGGAAAGACAGUUGUUAACGGCAACCGAGGGUAACCUCAGGGAAAGUGCCACAGAAACGAUACCGCCGCCGUGCUUCGCACCGGCAAGUUAAAAAGUUAAAAGUUCCUAAAGUUUGAAAUUCAUAUGACUUUCAAACUUUAUACUUUGCAAACUUUCGACUUGUCAGGGCGGAGCGCUGACGGUAAGGAUGAAACGAGUGGGGUAAGAGCCCACAGUUCUGCACGGUGACGUGUAGAAGAGGUAAACCCUGUCCGCUGCAAGGAGAUAAGUCCCAUCAAGGUUUCCCGCCGGGGCUCGUCAACAAAAACCGCUUGAGCUUAGGAGCAAUCCUAAGCCUAGAUAGAUGAUUAGCAGGAGCUGGCCCUGGUCUGAACAUUAAAAAGCAAAAUAGUUGCUGACGAGUUUUAGGUUGAACUUAUCGUAAAGAGGCAUAUCUAAAGAUAUGUUGACGCACGAUAGGUACAGCAUGAAGCUUGGACCUGCUAUUUGCUAAAUGUGCAGGCCUGGGCUAGUUCUAAACAGAACCCGGCUUAUAGAUCAUCUGGCCUA
This 607-nucleotide RNase P RNA is filed under the name Candidatus Saccharimonadota bacterium. Its description in RNAcentral is "RNase P RNA component class A". It matches the Rfam family "Bacterial RNase P class A". From Rfam's summary of the family: Ribonuclease P (RNase P) is a ubiquitous endoribonuclease, found in archaea, bacteria and eukarya as well as chloroplasts and mitochondria. Lineage: Bacteria; Candidatus Saccharimonadota. The record is from RNAcentral.